UUCUUAUCAAGAGAAGCUGAGGGACUGGCCCUGUGAAGCUUCAGCAACCAGCCGUUUGGUCAGGUGCUAAUUCCAGCAGAUGCUUAUGUGUCUGAUAGAUGAGAA
Molecule: non-coding RNA, 105 nt
Filed under: Psychrobacillus sp. FJAT-21963
Lineage: Bacteria; Bacillati; Bacillota; Bacilli; Caryophanales; Bacillaceae
Also listed under: 1 other name
Description: SAM riboswitch aptamer (S box leader)
Rfam family: SAM riboswitch aptamer (S box leader)
About the family: The SAM riboswitch is found upstream of a number of genes which code for proteins involved in methionine or cysteine biosynthesis in Gram-positive bacteria.
Source: Rfam by way of RNAcentral